CCUACGGGUGACAGCAGUGGGGAAUAUUGGGCAAUGGAGGCAACUCUGACCCAGCAACGCCGCGUGAAGGAAGAAGGCCCUAGGGUUGUAAACUUAUGUUGUAAAGGAAGAAAAGAAUGACGGUACUUUACAAGAAAGCCUCGGCUAACUAUGUGCCGGCAGCCGCGGUAAGACAUAGGGGGCAAGCGUUGUUCGGAAUUACUGGGCGUAAAGGGAGCGUAGGCGGGAGAUUAAGUUAAGAGUGAAAGCCUUGGGCUCAACCCAAGAAAUGCUCUUAAUACUGGUGUUCUAGAGUGUAGGAGAGGUAAGUGGAAUGCCUGGUGUAGCGGUAGAAUGCAUAGAGAUUAGGAGGAACAUCAGAGGCGAAGGCAGCUUACUAAACCAUGACUGACGCUGAGGCUCGAAAGCGUGGGGAGCAAACAGGAUUAGAUACCCGUGUAGUC
RNAcentral lists this ribosomal RNA (443 nucleotides) under uncultured bacterium. RNAcentral's name for it is "partial 16S ribosomal RNA". It matches the Rfam family "Bacterial small subunit ribosomal RNA", at positions 338 to 795 of the family's 1533-position model. The record is from RNAcentral.